UACGGAGGGUGCAAGCGUUAUCCGGAUUCACUGGGUUUAAAGGGUGCGUAGGUGGGUUAGUAAGUCAGUGGUGAAAUCUCCGUGCUUAACAUGGAAACUGCCAUUGAUACUACUAGUCUUGAAUCUUCCGGAGGUCAGCGGAAUAUGUCAUGUAGCGGUGAAAUGCUUAGAUAUGACAUAGAACACCAAUUGCGAAGGCAGCUGACUACAGGGGCAUUGACACUGAGGCACGAAAGCGUGGGGAUCAAACAGG
RNAcentral lists this ribosomal RNA (253 nucleotides) under uncultured bacterium. RNAcentral's name for it is "partial 16S ribosomal RNA". It matches the Rfam family "Bacterial small subunit ribosomal RNA", at positions 524 to 776 of the family's 1533-position model. The record is from RNAcentral.